RNAcentral lists this ribosomal RNA (1956 nucleotides) under human gut metagenome. RNAcentral's name for it is "bacterial LSU rRNA". It matches the Rfam family "Bacterial large subunit ribosomal RNA", at positions 3 to 1984 of the family's 2925-position model. The record is from RNAcentral.
UUAAGUUAAUAAGGGCGCACGGUGGAUGCCUUGGCACUAGAAGCCGAUGAAGGACGUGACUAACGACGAAAUGCUUUGGGGAGCUGUAAGUGAGCAAUGAUCCAGAGAUGUCCGAAUGGGGGAACCCGGCAGGUAAUGCCUGUCACUCAUUACUGUUAAGGUAAUGUAGAGGAAGACGCAGUGAACUGAAACAUCUAAGUAGCUGCAGGAAGAGAAAGCAAAAGCGAUUGCCUUAGUAGCGGCGAGCGAAACGGCAAGAGGGCAAACCGAAGAGUUUACUCUUCGGGGUUGUAGGACUGCAACGUGGACUUAAAGAUUAUAGAAGAACUACCUGGGAAGGUAGGCCAAAGAGAGUAAUAGCCUCGUAUUCGAAAUAGUCUUUAUACCUAGCAGUAUCCUGAGUACGGCGAGACACGAGAAAUCUCGUCGGAAUCUGGGAGGACCAUCUCCCAACCCUAAAUACUCUCUAGUGACCGAUAGUGAACCAGUACCGUGAGGGAAAGGUGAAAAGCACCCCGGGAGGGGAGUGAAAUAGAACCUGAAACCGUGUGCCUACAACAAGUUCGAGCCCGUUAAUGGGUGAGAGCGUGCCUUUUGUAGAAUGAACCGGCGAGUUACGAUAUGAUGCGAGGUUAAGUUGAAGAGACGGAGCCGUAGGGAAACCGAGUCUUAAUAGGGCGCAUUAGUAUCAUGUCGUAGACCCGAAACCAUGUGACCUACCCAUGAGCAGGUUGAAGGUGAGGUAAAACUCACUGGAGGACCGAACCAGGGCACGUUGAAAAGUGCUUGGAUGACUUGUGGGUAGCGGAGAAAUUCCAAACGAACUUGGAGAUAGCUGGUUCUCUCCGAAAUAGCUUUAGGGCUAGCGUCGAUGUUAAGUCUCUUGGAGGUAGAGCACUGUUUGGGUGAGGGGUCCAUCCCGGAUUACCAAUCUCAGAUAAACUCCGAAUGCCAACGAGAUAUAAUCGGCAGUCAGACUGCGAGUGCUAAGAUCCGUAGUCGAAAGGGAAACAGCCCAGACCACCAGCUAAGGUCCCAAAAUAUAUGUUAAGUGGAAAAGGAUGUGGGGUUGCACAGACAACUAGGAUGUUAGCUUGGAAGCAGCUAUUCAUUCAAAGAGUGCGUAAUAGCUCACUAGUCGAGUGACCCUGCGCCGAAAAUGUACCGGGGCUAAAACAUAUUACCGAAGCUGUGGAUACCUUUAUAGGUAUGGUAGGAGAGCGUUCUAUGUGCGAAGAAGGUGUACCGUGAGGAGUGCUGGAGCGCAUAGAAGUGAGAAUGCCGGUAUGAGUAGCGAAAGACAGGUGAGAAUCCUGUCCACCGUAAGACUAAGGUUUCCAGGGGAAGGCUCGUCCGCCCUGGGUUAGUCGGGACCUAAGGAGAGACCGAAAGGUGUAUCCGAUGGACAACAGGUUGAUAUUCCUGUACUAGAGUAUAUAGUGAUGGAGGGACGCAGUAGGCUAACUAAACCAGACGAUUGGAAGUGUCUGGCCAAGCAGUGAGGUGUGAUAUGAGUCAAAUGCUUAUAUCUAUAACAUUGAGCUGUGAUGGGGAGCGAAGUUUAGUAGCGAAGUUAGUGAUGUCACACUGCCGAGAAAAGCUUCUAGCGUUAAUUAUACUCUACCCGUACCGCAAACCGACACAGGUAGUCGAGGCGAGUAGCCUCAGGUGAGCGAGAGAACUCUCGUUAAGGAACUCGGCAAAAUGGCCCCGUAACUUCGGGAGAAGGGGCGCUGACUUAUGGUCAGCCGCAGUGAAUAGGCCCAAGCAACUGUUUAUCAAAAACACAGCUCUCUGCUAAAUCGUAAGAUGAUGUAUAGGGGGUGACGCCUGCCCGGUGCUGGAAGGUUAAGAGGAGUGCUUAGCGUAAGCGAAGGUAUGAAUUGAAGCCCCAGUAAACGGCGGCCGUAACUAUAACGGUCCUAAGGUAGCGAAAUUCCUUGUCGGGUAAGUUCC